RNAcentral lists this ribosomal RNA (521 nucleotides) under uncultured eukaryote. RNAcentral describes it as "bacterial SSU rRNA". It matches the Rfam family "Eukaryotic small subunit ribosomal RNA", at positions 21 to 549 of the family's 1831-position model. The record is from RNAcentral.
UAGUCAUAUGCUUGUCUUAAAGACUAAGCCAUGCAUGUCUAAGUAUAAGUAUUAUACAGCGAAACUGCGAAGGGCUCAUUAAAACAGUUAUAGUUUAUUCAAUUAUUUUCUCCUACAUGGAUAACCGUAGUAAUUCUAGAGCUAAUACAUGCUGUCAAACCUGACUUUUGUGGAAGGGUUGUAUUUAUUAAAUAUAAAACCAAUACUCGCAAGAGGAUUGUGAUGAUUCAUAAUAACUGAGCGGAUCGCGGCUUUGCCGCGACAAAUCGUUCAAGUUUCUGCCCUAUCAGCUUUUGAUGGUAGUGUAUUGGACUACCAUGGCGAUCACGGGUAACGGGAAAUUAGGGUUCGAUUCCGGAGAGGGAGCCUGAAAAACGGCUACCACAUCCAAGGAAGGCAGCAGGCGCGCAAAUUACCCAAUCCCGACACGGGGAGGUAGUGACAAUAAAUACUGAUACAGGGCUCUUUUGGGUCUUGUAAUUGGAAUGAGUACAAUUUAAAUCCCUUAACGAGGAUCCAUU